Molecule: ribosomal RNA, 253 nt
Filed under: uncultured bacterium
Lineage: Bacteria
Description: partial 16S ribosomal RNA
Rfam family: Bacterial small subunit ribosomal RNA
Source: RNAcentral
GACAGAGGGUGCAAACGUUGCUCGGAAUCAUUGGGCGUAAAGCGCGUGUAGGCGGCUUGUUACGUCGGGUGUGAAAGCCCAGGGCUCAACCCUGGCAGUGCACCCGAAACGGGGAAGCUGGAGUACUGGAGAGGCGAGUGGAAUUCCCGGUGUAGAGGUGAAAUUCGUAGAUAUCGGGAGGAACACCGGUGGCGAAGGCGACUCGCUGGCCAGUAACUGACGCUGAGACGCGAAAGCGUGGGGAGCAAACAGG